This 492-nucleotide ribosomal RNA is filed under the name uncultured bacterium. Its description in RNAcentral is "partial 16S ribosomal RNA". It matches the Rfam family "Bacterial small subunit ribosomal RNA", at positions 28 to 507 of the family's 1533-position model. The record is from RNAcentral.
GAUGAACGCUAGCUACAGGCUUAACACAUGCAAGUCGAGGGGAAACGACAUCGAAAGCUUGCUUUUGAUGGGCGUCGACCGGCGCACGGGUGAGUAACGCGUAUCCAACCUGCCCACCACUUGGGGAUAACCUUGCGAAAGUAAGACUAAUACCCAAUGAUAUCCCACGAAGACAUCUGAAUGGGAUUAAAGAUUUAUCGGUGAUGGAUGGGGAUGCGUCUGAUUAGCUUGUUGGCGGGGUAACGGCCCACCAAGGCAACGAUCAGUAGGGGUUCUGAGAGGAAGGUCCCCCACAUUGGAACUGGGACACGGUCCAAACUCCUACGGGAGGCAGCAGUGAGGAAUAUUAGGCAAUGGGCGAGAGCCUGAACCAGCCAAGUAGCGUGCAGGAAGACGGCCCUAUGGGUUGUAAACUGCUUUUAGAAGGGAAUAAAGUGGGUCACGUGUGACUUUUUGCAUGUACCUUAUGAAUAAGGACCGGCUAAUUCCGUG